AGACCGUGAUGAGGACACUUUCUUAGUAGCUCCUUGAACCUUUUCCAAGUUUCAUAUAAGGAUUCCCCUUCCUCUUGCGAAUAUGUAUUAAUUUCAGUAAUUAAUUU
Molecule: small nucleolar RNA, 107 nt
Filed under: Helianthus annuus (common sunflower)
Lineage: Eukaryota; Viridiplantae; Streptophyta; Magnoliopsida; Asterales; Asteraceae
Description: Plant small nucleolar RNA R71
Rfam family: Plant small nucleolar RNA R71
About the family: R71 is a member of the C/D box family of snoRNAs containing the C (UGAUGA) and D (CUGA) box motifs.
Source: RNAcentral